RNAcentral lists this ribosomal RNA (510 nucleotides) under uncultured bacterium. RNAcentral describes it as "partial 16S ribosomal RNA". It matches the Rfam family "Bacterial small subunit ribosomal RNA", at positions 28 to 507 of the family's 1533-position model. The record is from RNAcentral.
GACGAACGCUGGCGGCGUGCUUAACACAUGCAAGUCGAACGAAGAGCGAUGGAAGCUUGCUUCUAUCAAUCUUAGUGGCGAACGGGUGAGUAACGCGUAAUCAACCUGCCCUUCAGAGGGGGACAACAGUUGGAAACGACUGCUAAUACCGCAUACGAUCUAAUCUCGGCAUCGAGGAUAGAUGAAAGGUGGCCUCUACAUGUAAGCUAUCACUGAAGGAGGGGAUUGCGUCUGAUUAGCUAGUUGGAGGGGUAACGGCCCACCAAGGCGAUGAUCAGUAGCCGGUCUGAGAGGAUGAACGGCCACAUUGGGACUGAGACACGGCCCAGACUCCUACGGGAAGCAGCAGUGGGGAAUCUUCCGCAAUGGACGAAAGUCUGACGGGGCAACGCCGCGUGAGGGAUGACGGCCUUCGGGUUGUAAAGCUCUGUUAAUCGGGACGAAAGGCCUUCUUGCGAAUAGUGAGAAGGAUUGACGGUACCGGAAUAGAAAGCCACGGCUAACUACGUG